This 1389-nucleotide unclassified non-coding RNA is filed under the name uncultured Neocallimastigales. RNAcentral's name for it is "partial contains small subunit ribosomal RNA, internal transcribed spacer 1, 5.8S ribosomal RNA, internal transcribed spacer 2, and large subunit ribosomal RNA". The stretch from base 611 to 1389 matches the Rfam family "Eukaryotic large subunit ribosomal RNA", at positions 1 to 628 of the family's 3401-position model. The record is from RNAcentral. Lineage: Eukaryota; Fungi; Neocallimastigomycota; Neocallimastigomycetes; Neocallimastigales.
UUUCCGUAGGUGAACCUGCGGAAGGAUCAUUAAAAAUGUGGUACCAAUUAUUGGUACUAAUUAAUCAUCCUACCCUUUGUGAAUUUGUUUGUAUGAAUUUUUUUAAAUGGGUCUUUCCCUAAGUUGGAUUGUUAGUAAAAUACAAAAAGACUUAGGGGAAUGACUUUUUUAAAAGACUUUUUUUAAUUAGAACUUUUUGUAUUCAUUUGUCUAAAAUUUAUUUUUAUAAUAUAAAAACAACUUUUGACAACGGAUCUCUUGGUUCUCGCAACGAUGAAGAACGCAGCAAAAUGCGAUAAGUAGUGUGAAUUGCAGAAUACGUGAAUCAUCGAAUCUUCGAACGCAUAUUGCACUUUUUUAGUUUACUAAAAAAGUAUGUCUGUUUGAGUAUCAGUAAAAUAUUCUCACAAACAUAUAUUGUUUGUGGUUAUGAGUGUUUUACAACGAUAAACAAGUUGUUUCACUUUAAAUUCUUUUUAAUUGAAUUUUUACCAAUUCAUAAAUUAAAAUUGGAUAAAAUUUUCCUUUAACCGAGAAAUAACCUAAACAAUUUUAAAUUUUAUGGAUUAAUAAACAUUCAUCAAAGGAAUCUAAUUAUACAUAAAUAACUUGAUCUCAAAUCAGAUAAGAGUACCCGCUGAACUUAAGCAUAUCAAUAAGCGGAGGAAAAGAAACUAACAAGGAUUCCCUUAGUAACGGCGAGUGAAGCGGGAAGAGCUCAAAUUUGAAAUCUUCAAGGUUUGACCUUGACGAAUUGUAGUUUAUAGAAGUGUUUUCUGUUGGAGUUUUGGUAAAAGUUCUUUGGAAUAGGACAUCAUAGAGGGUGAGAAUCCCGUAUUUGACCAUGACUUUCCAGCUGUGUGAUACACUUUCAAAGAGUCGGAUUGUUUGGGAAUGCAGUCCAAAAUGGGUGGUAAACUUCAUCUAAAGCUAAAUAUUGGCGAGAGACCGAUAGCGAACAAGUACCGUGAGGGAAAGAUGAAAAGAACUUUGAAAAGAGAGUUAAACAGUACGUGAAAUUGUCAAAAGUGAAGCGUUUGACACCAGUGUUGUUUUCUCGAAAAUCAAUUUAAUGGGUUCUUGUUUUUAAGUUAUUGUGACUUUAUCAGCGCAUUUCUUAUUUUACUUGGCUCAUUGAAUGCACUUUUCGUUUAACAAGUCAACAUCAAUUUCUUUGGUGGUAAAAAGUUUAAAGGAAGGUGGCUUGGACUUCGGCUCAAGUGUUUAUAGCCUUUUUUCUAUGCCAUCGGAGAGAUUGAGGUCUGCAGCGUAGAUCCUUCGGGUUAGAUACCUUUGUGCUAAGUUAUAGUUUUUUAUAGACAACUUGUUGACUAUAAUUAACCCUGUAAUUUACUCGCUUAGGCUAUUUUACCUACGCUUAGGAUGUUG